UACGGAGGGUGCGAGCGUUAAUCGGAAUUACUGGGCGUAAAGCGCACGCAGGCGGUUUGUUAAGCUAGAUGUGAAAGCCCCGAGCUCAACUUGGGACGGUCAUUUAGAACUGGCAGACUAGAGUCUUGGAGAGGGGAGUGGAAUUCCAGGUGUAGCGGUGAAAUGCGUAGAUAUCUGGAGGAACAUCAGUGGCGAAGGCGACUCCCUGGCCAAAGACUGACGCUCAUGUGCGAAAGUGUGGGUAGCGAAC
RNAcentral lists this ribosomal RNA (250 nucleotides) under uncultured bacterium. Its description in RNAcentral is "partial 16S ribosomal RNA". It matches the Rfam family "Bacterial small subunit ribosomal RNA", at positions 524 to 773 of the family's 1533-position model. The record is from RNAcentral.